Molecule: ribosomal RNA, 221 nt
Filed under: uncultured Glomeromycotina
Lineage: Eukaryota; Fungi; Glomeromycota
Description: partial small subunit ribosomal RNA
Rfam family: Eukaryotic small subunit ribosomal RNA
Source: RNAcentral
AGCAGCCGCGGUAAUUCCAGCUCCAAUAGCGUAUAUUAAGUGUGCAGUAAAAGCUCGUAUGAAUUCGGGAUCAAUAUUUCGGUCAUGCCGUUGGUAUGCACUGUUAUCAUUGAUUUCUACCUUCUAAAGAACCGUAAUGCCAUUAAUUUGGUGUUACGGGAAAUUAGACUGUUACCUGAAAAAUUAGAGUGUUUAAAGCAGGCUCACGCUUGAAUACAUUA